RNAcentral lists this microRNA (25 nucleotides) under Ectocarpus siliculosus. RNAcentral's name for it is "esi-miR8624a". Lineage: Eukaryota; Phaeophyceae; Ectocarpales; Ectocarpaceae. The record is from miRBase by way of RNAcentral.
AAGUUGAUAGCUUCCGAGAAUCAGU